CUCGCGACCACGCUAACUUGCACUCGCUCAAUCACCACACUCACGCCAACCAAAUUUAAUUACUUUUGGUCGUACAACAUGGUCACGAAAUGGCGGCGACGCAAGAUGGCUGAAGGACCAAGUGUAAAUGUGGAUAAAAUUAUCAGUAGUUCGAUCAGCACACUCGUUAACUAAUAAAAUUGAAUUACUUUUGGGCGUACAACAUGAUCACGAAAUGGCCACGGAGGACUA
Long non-coding RNA from Eufriesea mexicana, 231 nucleotides. RefSeq lists it as uncharacterized. Lineage: Eukaryota; Metazoa; Arthropoda; Insecta; Hymenoptera; Apidae. The record is from RefSeq and is a predicted model, not a curated record. The transcript has 3 exons.